This 1416-nucleotide long non-coding RNA is filed under the name Heterocephalus glaber (naked mole-rat). Its description in RNAcentral is "lncRNA (ENSHGLG00000034468.1)". The record is from RNAcentral. Lineage: Eukaryota; Metazoa; Chordata; Mammalia; Rodentia; Bathyergidae.
GCUAGGUCCUGAGUUUGAUCCCCAGUACCAAAAAACAAAAAAAGUAUGUCAUUAGCUGGGAAUGGUGGCACACACCUGUAAUCUCAGCACUAUGGAGGCUGAGGCAGGAGGAUCACCAUGAGUUGGAGGCCAGCCUGGGCUACCUAAUUAGUUCAAGGCCAGACUGAACUACAUAGUGAGACCCUGUCUCAAAAUAAACAAAAGAAAGAAAAAAAAAAGAGGGUCGGAGAUUUAGCUCAGUGGGUCUGGCGCCUGCCUAGAAAGCGCAAGGUUCCGAGUUGGAUCCCCAGUACCAAAAAAAAAAAAAAAGAAAGAAAGAAAGAAAGAAAAUGUCAUUAGAAGGACCAAGAGUUGGAUGAAGGGGAAGGGAAAGGGACAUAAAAAAGAAUCAAGAUGUGUUAGAUACAUGUAUCAACUCCCCAUGAUCAAUGUAAUCAUUAUGAACUACAAGUAUGUACUAAUAAAAAUGAAAAUUAAAAAAAGAAAGAUGUCAUUAGCCCGGGAUGCACAAGGUCCUGGGUUCGAUCCACAGUACUGGGAAAAGAAAGUAAAGGAGGGAGGGAAAAGGGAGAAAAGAAGGACGAGGUGGACGUCAUCAGUGCCACGUGGGCUGCCCUAGGACAUACAGGACGCACGGGUAUGAAAGAAUGAGCAGUGGAGAGAGGUCCGUCUUCCCACAGGCAGCGAGUCUGCUCGGCUGCGGGAUAAGGUGAUAAGCAUCUGUCCCUGGAGAUGGAAAAGGCAGGGGAGGGCACUGUGAGCGGACAGAGUGGGAGAAGCCCGGGAGCAGGCAAACUAAAUUCUAGGCACUGGCUUCUAAUACUCUGUAAUUUUAUGCGUGUUCUCGGACUUUCAUUAGCUCCUGCCGGCUCCACGUGUCACAUGUUGCCCUGGCUGCGAACCCAAGCCACCUCGUCACUGUGGCGUCCUUUGGUUAGCGAGUGGUUCUCGUGGGAUUCUUCAAGUGUGCUCGCAGAAGAGAGAAUGGAUGACAGAGCAGGAGAAUCCAACCCAAGGGCCAUUACCAGGGGACUAGAUCGAGAGGCAAAGUGCAGAGCAUGCUGGUGCACACCUGUAUUUUGACACUCUGGGAGGCUGAGGCAGGAGCAUCACAAGUUGGAUCACAACUUAGGAUCACAAUUUAGCAAGACUCUGCCUCAAAAUAAAAAAUAAAAAAAGAGCCAGGUAUGGUGGCGCACAUUUGUAAUCCCAACACUUGGGAGGCUGAGGCAAGAGGAUUGCUGUGAGUUCAAGGCCAACCUGGGCUACACAGUGAGUUCAGGGCCAGCUUGAACUACACAGUGAGACUUUGUCUCAAAAAAGCAAAUAAUAAUAAUAAAUAAAAAUUAAAAAGGACUGGGGAUAUAGCUCAGUGCAAAUGCCCUGAGUUCAAUCCCUAGUAGUGUCGGACGGAGG